GAUGAACGCUGGCGGCGUGCUUAACACAUGCAAGUCGAACGGAAAGGCCCAAGCUUUCUUGGGUACUCGAGUGGCGAACGGGUGAGUAACACGUGGGGGAUCCGCCCUGCACUUCGGGAUAAGCCUGGGAAACUGGGGCUAAUACCGGAUAGGACCACUUGUUGGACGGUGUGGUGGAGUGAUUUUCGGUGUGGGUUGAGCUUGCGGCGUAUCCGCUUGUUGGUGGGGUAAUGGCUUACCAAGGGGUCGACGGGUAGCCGGACUGAGAGAGUGUACGGCCACAUUGGGACUGAGAGGCGGCCCAGACUCCUACGGGAGGCAGAAGUGGGGAAGAUUGAACAAGGGGCGCAAGCCUGAUGAAGAGAGGCCGCGGGGGGGAGGACGGUCUUAGGGUUGAAAACUCAUUUCGCUAGGGACGAAGCGUUAUGUGACGGUACCUGGAGAAGAAGCACCGGCUAACUACGUG
This 466-nucleotide ribosomal RNA is filed under the name uncultured bacterium. RNAcentral's name for it is "partial 16S ribosomal RNA". It matches the Rfam family "Bacterial small subunit ribosomal RNA", at positions 28 to 507 of the family's 1533-position model. The record is from RNAcentral.